Small nucleolar RNA from Gossypium arboreum, 107 nucleotides. It matches the Rfam family "Plant small nucleolar RNA R71". From Rfam's summary of the family: R71 is a member of the C/D box family of snoRNAs containing the C (UGAUGA) and D (CUGA) box motifs. The record is from Rfam. NCBI's taxonomy places the organism in Eukaryota, Viridiplantae, Streptophyta, Magnoliopsida, Malvales, Malvaceae.
AUUCCAUGAUGAGGGCACUUUCAUAAUAACUCUUUGUACCUUAAUCAUGCCUCAUACAAAGACUCAUCGUCCAUUUGUUGGAAGGCAGUGAUCUCAUUCCUAAACUU